GGCGGUAUGGACAUCGAGAAGGUGGCGCACGACACGCCGGAGAAGAUCGUGACGUUCUCCGUCGAUCCGGCGACCGGCGUGAUGGCGCAUCACGGCCGCAAGGUUGCGCAGGUUCUGGGCCUGAGCGGCGAUCUCGCCAAGCAGGCGGAGAAACUCACCGCGCAACUUUACAACGCCUUCCUGUCCACCGACAUGGCGAUGCUGGAGAUC
This 210-nucleotide unclassified non-coding RNA is filed under the name Hevea brasiliensis (rubber tree). Lineage: Eukaryota; Viridiplantae; Streptophyta; Magnoliopsida; Malpighiales; Euphorbiaceae. The record is from RNAcentral.